This is a long non-coding RNA of Acipenser ruthenus (sterlet), 435 nucleotides long. RefSeq lists it as uncharacterized. The transcript has 4 exons. NCBI's taxonomy places the organism in Eukaryota, Metazoa, Chordata, Actinopteri, Acipenseriformes, Acipenseridae. The record is from RefSeq and is a predicted model, not a curated record.
AAGUGAAAAAGAACAGCAGCAAUAGAGCCUCUGUGAGUGAGCCCUGACCCUGAAGGCAACCCUGACCCGUGCAUUUACCUUGGAAUAUUUCAGACUACGAGAAAACUGCAUCUGUUAGUGUGAAUGGGGCCAGUUCAGAGAAACAUGUUGGUUGGUUGGUUGGUUGCUUGCCUGCAAACCCCUGUAAUUCAAGACCCUCCUUGUGUUCUGGUGUUGAUCCUUAAGACCCCAGGUAGAAGAAGCUGCCAGCCAAAAAGAUUGGUGGCAAAUGUCACCCCAACAGGAAGAUGCAGCAAUGAGGAGCAGAUUUUAAGAGGGGAGCCCCCUUUUGAGGUGGAGAGCUGAUUAAUGACUGACUAAUGCACCACCCACCCAAGCCCUUCUCUGUGUUCCACCCCGUGACUUGGAGGGUAGUGGAUGACAGAAGAUUCCCCU